Molecule: ribosomal RNA, 438 nt
Filed under: uncultured bacterium
Lineage: Bacteria
Description: bacterial SSU rRNA
Rfam family: Bacterial small subunit ribosomal RNA
Source: RNAcentral
GAUGAACGCUGGCGGCGUGCUUAACACAUGCAAGUCGAACGGGAAUUACUUUAUUAAAACUUCGGUGGAUUUAAUUUAAUUCUAGUGGCGGACGGGUGAGUAACGCGUGGGUAACCUGCCUUGUACAGGGGGAUAACAGUCAGAAAUGACUGCUAAUACCGCAUAAGCGCACAGGACCGCAUGGUCCAGUGUGAAAAACUCCGGUGGUAUAAGAUGGACCCGCGUUGGAUUAGCUGGUUGGUGGGGUAACGGCCUACCAAGGCGACGAUCCAUAGCCGGCCUGAGAGGGUGAACGGCCACAUUGGGACUGAGACACGGCCCAGACUCCUACGGGAGGCAGCAGUGGGGAAUAUUGCACAAUGGGGGAAACCCUGAUGCAGCGACGCCGCGUGAAGGAAGAAGUAUCUCGGUAUGUAAACUUCUAUCAGCAGGGAAGAA